This 492-nucleotide ribosomal RNA is filed under the name uncultured bacterium. RNAcentral describes it as "partial 16S ribosomal RNA". It matches the Rfam family "Bacterial small subunit ribosomal RNA", at positions 29 to 507 of the family's 1533-position model. The record is from RNAcentral.
AGUGAACGCUGGCGGUAGGCCUAACACAUGCAAGUCGAACGGCAGCGCAGUAAGAGCUUGCUCUUACGGGUGGCGAGUGGCGGACGGGUGAGGAAUACAUCGGAACCUACUUUUUCGUGGGGGAUAACGUAGGGAAACUUACGCUAAUACCGCAUACGACCUACGGGUGAAAGCAGGGGAUCUUCGGACCUUGCGCGAUUGAAUGAGCCGAUGUCGGAUUAGCUAGUUGGCGGGGUAAAGGCCCACCAAGGCGACGAUCCGUAGCUGGUCUGAGAGGAUGAUCAGCCACACUGGAACUGAGACACGGUCCAGACUCCUACGGGAGGCAGCAGUGGGGAAUAUUGGACAAUGGGCGCAGGCCUGAUCCAGCCAUACCGCGUGGGUGAAGAAGGCCUUCGGGUUGUAAAGCCCUUUUGUUGGGAAAGAAAAGCAGCAGGUUAAUACCCCGCUGUUCUGACGGUACCCAAAGAAUAAGCACCGGCUAACUUCGUG